This 1670-nucleotide ribosomal RNA is filed under the name Malaclemys terrapin terrapin. RNAcentral describes it as "bacterial LSU rRNA". It matches the Rfam family "Bacterial large subunit ribosomal RNA", at positions 477 to 2158 of the family's 2925-position model. The record is from RNAcentral. Lineage: Eukaryota; Metazoa; Chordata; Testudines; Emydidae.
CUGAUGACCGAUAGUGAAGCAGUACCGUGAGGGAAAGGUGAAAAGAACCCCGGGAGGGGAGUGAAAUAGAACCUGAAACCAUGUGCCUACAACCGAUCAAAGCACCUUAUGUGUGUGAUGAUGUGCUUUUUGUAGAACGAGCCAACGAGUUACGGUAUGUAGCAAGGUUAAGUACUUAAGGUACGGAGCCGAAGGGAAACCGAGUCUUAAUAGGGCGACUAGUUGCAUGCUGUAGACCCGAAACCGGGUGACCUAUCCAUGGCCAGGUUGAAGCGAGGGUAAAACCUCGUGGAGGACCGAACCACGUUGCUUGAAAAAGCAUGGGAUGAGCUGUGGAUAGCGGAGAAAUUCCAAUCGAACUCGGAUAUAGCUGGUUCUCCUCGAAAUAGCUUUAGGGCUAGCGUCGGAAAAUGUGAGUAGUGGAGGUAGAGCACUGAAUAGGCUAGGGGGCAUAGCGCUUACCGAACCUUAUCAAACUCCGAAUGCCAUAUACUAUCAGUCCGGCAGUCAGACUGUGAAAGAUAAGUUCCAUGGUCAAAAGGGAAACAGCCCAGAUCGUCAGCUAAGGUCCCAAAGUGUAAGUUAAGUGGAAAAGGAUGUGGGAUUUCUAAGACAACUAGGAUGUUGGCUUAGAAGCAGCCACUCAUUAAAAGAGUGCGUAAUAGCUCACUAGUCAAGAGAUCCUGCGCCGAAAAUGUCCGGGGCUCAAACUUACCACCGAAGCUACGGGUUCACACUUAUGUGUGAGCGGUAGAGGAGCGUCGUAAUCGGGCUGAAGUCGUACCGUAAGGAGCGGUGGACUGAUUACGAGUGAGAAUGUUGGCAUUAGUAGCGAGAUGUAGGCGAGAAUCCUACAGGCCGAAUAUCUAAGGUUUCCUGAGUAAAGUUUGUCUUCUCAGGGUUAGUCGGGACCUAAGGCGAGGCCGAAAGGCGUAGUCGAUGGACAAUUGGUUGAUAUUCCAAUACCACUAUAAUCGUUAUUAUCGAUGGUGUGACGGAGAAGGAUAGGAUGUGCCAGCUAUUGGAUGCUGGUCUAAGCGUUAAGGGAGUCAGAGUAGGCAAAUCCGCUCUGGCAAUUCUGAGGCGUGAUGGGGAAGGUUCUACGGAACCGAAGUAUCUGAUUUCAUGCUUCCAAGAAAAGCAUCUAGAGAGAGAAGUAGUGCCCGUACCGCAAACCGACACAGGUAGAUGAGGAGAGAAUCCUAAGGCCGACGGAAGAAUUGCAGUUAAGGAACUAGGCAAAUUGACCCCGUAACUUCGGGAGAAGGGGUGCCUGAGAAAUCAGGCCGCAGAGAAUAGGCACAAGCAACUGUUUAACAAAAACACAGGUCUCUGCUAAAGCGAAAGCUGAUGUAUAGGGGCUGACGCCUGCCCGGUGCUGGAAGGUUAAGGGAAUAUGUUAGGGGUAACCCGACGCAUUGAACCGAAGCCCCAGUAAACGGCGGCCGUAACUAUAACGGUCCUAAGGUAGCGAAAUUCCUUGUCGGGUAAGUUCCGACCUGCACGAAUGGCGUAACGACUUCCCCACUGUCUCAACCAUAGACCCGGCGAAAUUGAAGUACGAGUAAAGAUGCUCGUUAGCUGCGGAAGGACGGAAAGACCCCAUGGACCUUCACUAUAACUUGAUGUUGAGUCUUGACCUGCAUUGUGUAGGAUAGGUGGGAGACUUG